This 497-nucleotide ribosomal RNA is filed under the name uncultured bacterium. RNAcentral describes it as "partial 16S ribosomal RNA". It matches the Rfam family "Bacterial small subunit ribosomal RNA", at positions 28 to 507 of the family's 1533-position model. The record is from RNAcentral.
GACGAACGCUGGCGGCGUGCCUAAUACAUGCAAGUUGAGCGAUGAAGAUUGGUGCUUGCACCAAUUUGAAGAGCAGCGAACGGGUGAGUAACGCGUGGGGAAUCUGCCUUUGAGCGGGGGACAACAUUUGGAAACGAAUGCUAAUACCGCAUAACAACUUUAAACAUAAGUUUUAAGUUUGAAAGAUGCAAUUGCAUCACUCAAAGAUGAUCCCGCGUUGUAUUAGCUAGUUGGUGAGGUAAAGGCUCACCAAGGCGAUGAUACAUAGCCGACCUGAGAGGGGGAGUGGCCAGAGUGGGACUGAGACACGGCCCAAACGCCUACGGGAGGCAGCAGUAGGGAAUCUUGGGCAAUGGACGAAAGUCUGACCGAGAAACGCCGCGGGAGUGAAGAAGGUUUUCGGAUCGUAAAACUCGGUUGGUAGAGAAGAACGUUGGUGAGAGUGGAAAGCUCAUCAAGUGACGGUAACUACCCAGAAAGGGACGGCUAACUACGUG